GAGCUUACAAGCCUAAGUACUGUUUCCUUGUUAGAAGAUAGAAAACCAAAGACUCAUACAGAGUUUAGCUACACCAUCAAAGCUUUGAGAACCAAGAAGAAGAUUGGUUAGUGUUUUGGAGUGAAAUAUGACUAGAUGUCAUGUGUAUGAUUGAGUAUAAGAACUUAAACCGCAACCGAAUCUUAAACGCCUAAGUAAUGUUUCCUUGUUAGAAGAUACAAAGCCAAAACCUCAUACAGACUUU
This 244-nucleotide small RNA is filed under the name Arabidopsis thaliana (thale cress). RNAcentral describes it as "ATSL270420". Lineage: Eukaryota; Viridiplantae; Streptophyta; Magnoliopsida; Brassicales; Brassicaceae. The record is from RNAcentral.